This 88-nucleotide ribosomal RNA is filed under the name Acanthamoeba genotype T4. Its description in RNAcentral is "partial 18S ribosomal RNA". Lineage: Eukaryota; Discosea; Longamoebia; Acanthamoebidae. The record is from RNAcentral.
CAAAACACCACCAUACGGUUGCGCGGUCAUCCUUGGCGUCUCGGUUUCGGCCGGGGCGCGGGGAUGGCUAGCCCACGUGACAACCACA